Hippocampus zosterae (dwarf seahorse) is the source of this 864-nucleotide long non-coding RNA. RefSeq lists it as uncharacterized. The transcript has 2 exons. NCBI's taxonomy places the organism in Eukaryota, Metazoa, Chordata, Actinopteri, Syngnathiformes, Syngnathidae. The record is from RefSeq and is a predicted model, not a curated record.
CAGGGGAAGUGAAUCUUGCGUCGCCGCCACAGAACAAAUCUUUGCGAGGUGAGGAUGUGCGUGACGACACUCAGCAACAUCAGGAAGAUGGUCAUCGACAUCACGAUAACGUAGUGGCUGAUGCUGUGCGGGAUAAAGAGAAAUGCUAAGCAGAAGGUAUGUGGCUGUGAGCGAGAGGAACACGCUGAGGAGCCGGUGAAACAGGCGCGUAGAGCUCAUCAAGGGAACGGGUAUGGAAGAGGCUAAAGAAAGCAGUACGGUAAGCUGUGUUUUUUUUUUUCUUCUUCUUUCUUUUUCCGAAAAACCAAAGCAAAUGCGCGUUCUCCGUCACAUGCCACCCACCUAAUGUGACCCAACUGAUGAGCUGAGCCAGAAGGGGCAGCCCCCGUUUCUGCUGCAGGCUGGAGUGCGUGAAGAACGGCACGCAUGCAGACACUGCCACAAGCAGCAUCUGUUCGGUGACACCCAUUAAAGUGAGGCCGGCUGCAUUCACACAAAUGCAGUCAUGCGCAGAACGUAAUUAGCCACAGCUACCUGUAUGACGAGCUGCUGUUUAUCACUAAAGAGGAGUGAUGUCCUGCUCCGUGAUGGCCACAGGAAACAGACCGAUAGAAACAGAGUGAGCAGACCAGCACAGAUCCUAAGAAAAUAAGUCGGGUGCUGCAUUAUUUGUAUUCUUAUCAGGAGGUUAUUGAUUCAACAAUGCACUUUAUUGACGUAUAUACUCACACCAGAUAUGUGUUGGGCUCCCUUCCCAUCACGGGCAUGAGGGGGAAAGCAGCCAAACAAAGGCAGCCCAGAAACCAGUUCACUGAGCAGCACUAGAAAGCGAUCAUGAUCAGACAAGCUCAUCAAAAUGAACGA